RNAcentral lists this ribosomal RNA (429 nucleotides) under Gemmatimonadota bacterium. RNAcentral's name for it is "Gemmatimonadetes bacterium partial 16S ribosomal RNA". It matches the Rfam family "Bacterial small subunit ribosomal RNA", at positions 355 to 776 of the family's 1533-position model. Lineage: Bacteria; Pseudomonadati; Gemmatimonadota. The record is from RNAcentral.
UAGGGAAUCUUCGGCAAUGGACGAAAGUCUGACCGAGCAACGCCGCGUGAGUGAAGAAGGUUUUCGGAUCGUAAAACUCUGUUGUUAGAGAAGAACAAGGACGUUAGUAACUGAACGUCCCCUGACGGUAUCUAACCAGAAAGCCACGGCUAACUACGUGCCAGCAGCCGCGGUAAUACGUAGGUGGCAAGCGUUGUCCGGAUUUAUUGGGCGUAAAGCGAGCGCAGGCGGUUUCUUAAGUCUGAUGUGAAAGCCCCCGGCUCAACCGGGGAGUGUCAUUGGAAACUGGGAGACUUGAGUGCAGAAGAGGAGGGUGGAAUUCCAUGUGUGGCGGUGAAAUGCGUAGAUAUAUGGAGGAACACCAGUGGCGAAGGCGGCUCUCUGGUCUGUAACUGACGCUGAGGCUAGAAAGCGUGGGGAGCAAACAGG